AAUUAAUAUUGGCAAAAUCUUCGAAAGAGGAUGACGCAAAACCAUGGAUCUACAGCCUCAUUAUUAAUCAGAGGCCAUGACUGCCAGGUUGCAGAA
Molecule: non-coding RNA, 96 nt
Filed under: Paenibacillus sp.
Lineage: Bacteria; Bacillati; Bacillota; Bacilli; Caryophanales; Paenibacillaceae
Also listed under: 1 other name
Description: c-di-GMP sequence
Rfam family: c-di-GMP-I riboswitch aptamer
About the family: GEMM was predicted in a large-scale screen for bacterial structured RNA regulatory elements. Genes associated with GEMM are involved in a diverse array of functions, including chemotaxis regulation, signal transduction, secretion and chitin.
Source: RNAcentral